Molecule: ribosomal RNA, 399 nt
Filed under: uncultured bacterium
Lineage: Bacteria
Description: partial 16S ribosomal RNA
Rfam family: Bacterial small subunit ribosomal RNA
Source: RNAcentral
CCUACGGGAGGCUGCAGUGAGGAAUAUUGGUCAAUGGGCGUAAGCCUGAACCAGCCAAGUCGCGUGAGGGAUGAAGGUUCUAUGGAUCGUAAACCUCUUUUAUAAGGGAAUAAAGUAUGGUACGUAUCCUCUCUUGUAUGUACCUUAUGAAUAAGGAUCGGCUAACUCCGUGCCAGCAGCCGCGGUAAUACGGAGGAUCCGAGCGUUAUCCGGAUUUAUUGGGUUUAAAGGGUGCGUAGGCGGCAUUUUAAGUCAGCGGUGAAAGUCUGUGGCUCAACCAUAGAAUUGCAGUUGAAACUGGGGGGCUUGAGUACGUUAGAGGAGGGCGGAAUGCGUGGUGUAGCGGUGAAAUGCUUAGAUAUCACGAAGAACACCGAUUGCGAAGGCAGCUCGCUAGGC